RNAcentral lists this ribosomal RNA (508 nucleotides) under uncultured bacterium. RNAcentral's name for it is "partial 16S ribosomal RNA". The stretch from base 20 to 329 matches the Rfam family "Bacterial small subunit ribosomal RNA", at positions 47 to 358 of the family's 1533-position model. The record is from RNAcentral.
GACGAACGCUGGCGGCGUGCUUAACACAUGCAAGUCGAACGGAAAGGCCCUGCUUUUGUGGGGUGCUCGAGUGGCGAAAGGGUGAGUAACACGUGAGUAACCUGCCCUUGACUUUGGGAUAACUUCAGGAAACUGGGGCUAAUACCGGAUAGGAGCUCCUGCUGCAUGGUGGGGGUUGGAAAGUUUCGGCGGUUGGGGAUGGACUCGCGGCUUAUCAGCGUGUUGGUGGGGUAGUGGCUUACCAAGGCUUUGACGGGUAGCCGGCCGGAGAGGGUGACCGGGCGCAGGGGGACUGAGCUGCGUCCCAGAAGGGGACGGGGGGCAGAGAGGGGGAGUAUAGACCGAGGGGGGGAGGCAUGAGGAAGCCACGCCGGUGGGGGAAUGACGGCCUUCGGGGUUGACACGGCUGGCGGUGGGGAGGAGGGGGGAGGGAGGGUAUGGGGAAAAGAAGCACCGGCUAACUACGUGACAGCAGCCGAGGUAAUGAUCGGAAGACCACAUGUUGAAC